AAACAAAAGAAAGAAAACACCUAAACGUUCCAACGAUCCAUGUUGGAUAGCAAGCACGUACAAGAACUUUCCUUUUCUUCUUUGCUGCAACACAAGGUUGGAGUGAUGUUUUGAAGGGUUGGUUAUGUGGAGGAAUGGAUGGGUAGGAGUUUAGAUAUGUAGGGAGAGGCAAGGAAAGGCUUAGAGAAUGAUUAAUUUCUGGAUGAUUUGAAUGAGGUUGCUGCCAUGGUAUUUAUAGGAAAAUGAUGGACUUGUUUAACACAAAAUUCUGGUGGAAUUGAGUAGGUGAGCACGGCAAGAGUGGGAAUUGUUGGUGGGUUAGGUAUUGAGUCAUCCAUUCACAUGUCAUGGUGAGUUAAGCAUUGCAUCAUCCACUCACAUGUCAUGGUGAUUUAAGCAUUGCAUCAUCCACUCACAUGUCAUGGUGAUUUAAGCAUUACAUCAUUACUCAAAUUUCUGGUGAAAGUGAAUCAAUGCCCACGGCAUUGAAGAAUUUCUUGGUUUUGAGUGAAGUUUUGGUCAAUCCUUCUAGAAAUUUAUCCCUUCUUGCAACUUGUAUUUGUUUCACCAGAUUUUUAGCAUGUUUAUAGCCUCAUUUGUCUUCAAAUUCGUCCCUCCUCAUGCCUCCAUGCUUGCACAAUCCAAUCUUGGCCCAAAAAUGUUCUAGAAUGUUCCAAAUUGCUCCUUUUUGCAUACUUUGACAAUAAACCUGAAAUUGCACGAAAAUGACUUUAAACACUAAACUAACUAAGGAAAAAUAACAUAAAUGCAUGAGAACAAGCCAAUUAAGUCGCAUAAAAAUGCUCCUAUCACAACACGACACAUAUCAAUGUCAGAAUGAAACUAGAAACUCUCUUCUAUAAAUAAAGAUCAUUCUCUCACAAUAUUUCCUAAUG
RNAcentral lists this long non-coding RNA (896 nucleotides) under Malus domestica (apple). Its description in RNAcentral is "long non-coding RNA (MDOM_LNC011010)". Lineage: Eukaryota; Viridiplantae; Streptophyta; Magnoliopsida; Rosales; Rosaceae. The record is from RNAcentral.